RNAcentral lists this long non-coding RNA (1459 nucleotides) under Sus scrofa (pig). RNAcentral describes it as "lncRNA (ENSSSCG00060004063.1)". Lineage: Eukaryota; Metazoa; Chordata; Mammalia; Artiodactyla; Suidae. The record is from RNAcentral.
AGAGACGGAUGGACGGAUGGAGGUCACUGUGCAGCCAGCCCUGGCCCCCCACGGCCCGCCCGCCGCCCUGUGCUGACAGGCCCUGCUGACGACAGCCGAAGCAGGGGAGGGACAGGCCGCCACCAGCAUGGUAAUAAUCCUUGGCCCAGGCGCCCCGCAGGCAGUAGGAGCCCGUGAUGGUUCUGGAACCUGGGUAGCCUUUGGCGGGACUUAAGUCUGGAUGGAAGCCUUCAUCAAUCUGGGGUGGCCCUCUCUUGUCCUGCAGUGGCGUGUGGAGCUUCCAAGACCCCCAGGCACUUGUUGAAAGAUGAGAAAAACCAAGACGGAAGAGGGCAUGCCCCAAGGUCACGCAGCUGACCCGGAAUUCCUAUCUCCGUCUGUAUGAUGGCCAAGUCCGUUGCUCCAAAGCCUGAGCCUGACCCACCGCCUCAAGUAAAGGGCCUCCCCGACUCCUCCUGGAGAAGGGAGCGCAUUGGCUCUGGGAUGAGCAGCUAUCCCUUUAACGUGGUGGCUGGCCCACCUGUUACCUAUUAUCCUGCUUCCUAACACCGACAGCCAUGCCCGGCCCUUGCUAUAGGGUGGAACUCUCGCCCCCGCAGAAGUCCGUCCUGGCACCUGGCCAUAGUUUGUCCUGUUGCAAGACUGCUCUUCUUGGCAGUCGGAGCUGGUGACUUUGUAACAGGCCAUUAAAGACCCUGAUAAUGAAACAAACUCCAGGGGCAACUUGGAGCGUGGCUACGGGCGAAGGAUGUGUGGAGAGAUCAGGCAGGCCUGUGGAGACGGCUAAGGCCCCAGAGAAAGCCUGAGGGAGCCACGCCUGGAUCAAGUGGGACCCUGAGGCCCAGCGGAACCCCCAUGGCUCCUCAUCGCUCAUUCCAGCAACGAAGCACCUGCUCUGCGUUGGGGUCUGGGGCUGUUGACCUGAACAGGAACCAGGCUGGCUUUCCCAGCGAGGAGGAGGGAUUGCCAGGUGGCGAUGGGAGAGCCCAGGGCCUGUGACCGUCCAGGGGGAGGCCGGACCCAGCCUGGGAGGAAAAAUGACCGCAUCUGCCCUGAGGACCGCUGUGCACAUUCUCUGAGUUGAUUCAUCAAAAGCCUUUAGCAGAGCGUGGGACUUGGAGGCCACCAUGCACAGAAGCGCAUUUGUGGAAGAGGAGGUUGGUGACUUGGUGGGGCCUCCCUUCUCUGUCAUCAAGGAUGCCCUCCAGGAGUUCCUGUAGUGGCUCAGUGGAAAUGAAUCUGACGAGUAUCCAUGAGGAAGCUGCUUCCGUCUCUGGCCUGGCCUUGCUCAGUGGGUUAAGGAUGUGGCGUUGCCAUGAGCUGUGGUGUAGGUUGCGACGUGACUCAGAUCCUGCGUUGCUGUGGCUCUAGUGUAGGCCGGUAGCUACAGCUCCCAUUCCACCCCAGCCUAGGAACCUCCAUAUGCCGCCGCCCUACAAAGACAAAAAGACAAAAAGAC